RNAcentral lists this unclassified non-coding RNA (315 nucleotides) under uncultured Thelephoraceae. RNAcentral's name for it is "sequence contains ITS2". The record is from RNAcentral. Lineage: Eukaryota; Fungi; Basidiomycota; Agaricomycetes; Thelephorales; Thelephoraceae.
AACGCACCUUGCGCCCUUUGGCUAUUCUGAAGGGCAUGCCUGUUUGAGUAUCAUGAACACCUCAACUCUCAUGGCUUGCCAUGACGAGCUUGGACUUUGGGGGGUCUUGCUGGCCUAUGGUCGGCUCCUCUUAAAUUGAUCAGCUUGCCAGUGUUUGGUGGCAUCACAGGUGUGAUAACUAUCUACGCUUGUGGUUUUCCACCAGGUAACCUUCAGUGAUGGAGGUUCGCUGGAGCUCAUAAAUGUCUCUCCUCAGCGAGGACAGCUUUUUGAACAUUUGAUCUCAAAUCAGGUAGGACUACCCGCUGAACUUAA